GUCCCGCAACGAGCGCAACCCUCAUUUUUAGUUGCCUUAUGGAACUCUAGAAAGACUGCUGGUUAUAAACCGGAGGAAGGCGGGGAUGACGUCAAGUCAGCAUGCCCCUUACACCCUGGGCUACACACGUGCUACAAUGGGUGAGACAAUGAGAUGCAAAUCUGCGAAGACAAGCUAAUCUAUAAACUCACUCUAAGUUCGGAUUGUAGGCUGCAACUCGCCUGCAUGAAGUUGGAAUCGCUAGUAAUCGCUG
RNAcentral lists this ribosomal RNA (253 nucleotides) under Platyophrya macrostoma. RNAcentral's name for it is "partial Bacterial small subunit ribosomal RNA". It matches the Rfam family "Bacterial small subunit ribosomal RNA", at positions 1084 to 1347 of the family's 1533-position model. Lineage: Eukaryota; Ciliophora; Colpodea; Cyrtolophosidida; Platyophryidae. The record is from RNAcentral.